RNAcentral lists this ribosomal RNA (439 nucleotides) under uncultured bacterium. Its description in RNAcentral is "bacterial SSU rRNA". It matches the Rfam family "Bacterial small subunit ribosomal RNA", at positions 954 to 1392 of the family's 1533-position model. The record is from RNAcentral.
GCUUAACGCGAAGAACCUUACCCGGGCUAGAAAAGCACGGAACCCUUUGGAAACAUGGGGGUGCUCGCAAGAGAACCGUGAUCCAGGUGCUGCAUGGCUGUCGUCAGCUCGUGUCGUGAGAUGUUGGGUUAAGUCCCGCAACGAGCGCAACCCUUGUCCUUAGUUGCCAUCAUUCAGUUGGGGACUCUGGGAAGACCGCCGGUGUCAAACCGGAGGAAGGCGGGGAUGACGUCAAGUCCUCAUGGCCCUUACGGCCAGGGCUACACACGUACUACAAUGGUAGAAACAGACGGCUGCAAGACCGCAAGGUGGAGCUAAUCCGUAAAACACUAUCUCAGUCCGGAUUGAGGUCUGCAACUCGACCUCAUGAAGUUGGAAUCGCUAGUAAUCGCAGAUCAGCACGCUGCGGUGAAUACGUUCCCGGGUCUUGUACACACCG